ACGUGGGUGGAUCUGCCUUGCACUCUGGGAGUAAGCUUGGGAAACGUAGGGUCGUAAUACAGGAUAGGAACCGUCUUUAGUGUGGUGGUUGGAAAGUUUUUUCGGUGCAAGAUGAGCUCGCGGCCUAUCAGCUUGUUGGUGGGGUAAUGGCCUACCAAGGCGUCGACGGGUAGCCGGCCUGAGAGGGUGUACGGCCACAUUGGGACUGAGAUACGGCCCAG
RNAcentral lists this ribosomal RNA (221 nucleotides) under uncultured Actinomycetales bacterium. RNAcentral describes it as "partial 16S ribosomal RNA". It matches the Rfam family "Bacterial small subunit ribosomal RNA", at positions 115 to 334 of the family's 1533-position model. Lineage: Bacteria; Bacillati; Actinomycetota; Actinomycetes; Actinomycetales. The record is from RNAcentral.